This 300-nucleotide ribosomal RNA is filed under the name uncultured beta proteobacterium. RNAcentral's name for it is "bacterial SSU rRNA". It matches the Rfam family "Bacterial small subunit ribosomal RNA", at positions 1033 to 1335 of the family's 1533-position model. The record is from RNAcentral. Lineage: Bacteria; Pseudomonadati; Pseudomonadota; Betaproteobacteria.
CACAGGUGCUGCAUGGCUGUCGUCAGCUCGUGUCGUGAGAUGUUGGGUUAAGUCCCGCAACGAGCGCAACCCUUGUCAUUAGUUGCUACAUUCGGUUGGGCACUCGAAAGAGCCGGCGGGUGACAAACCGAAGGAAGGGGGGGAUGACUUCAAUUCCUCCUGGCCCUUAUGGGUGGGGCUUCCCCCGUCAUACAAGGGUACAUACGGAGGGCCGCCAACCCGGGAGGGGGACCUAAUCCCAAAAAGUGUAUCUUAUUCCGGAUCUCAGUCUGCAACUCGACUGCUUGAAGUUGAAAUCGC